This 269-nucleotide ribosomal RNA is filed under the name uncultured prokaryote. RNAcentral describes it as "partial 16S ribosomal RNA". It matches the Rfam family "Bacterial small subunit ribosomal RNA", at positions 524 to 792 of the family's 1533-position model. The record is from RNAcentral.
UACGGAGGAUCCGAGCGUUAUCCGGAUUUAUUGGGUUUAAAGGGUGCGCAGGCGGGAGAUUAAGUCGGCGGUGAAAUUUUGCAGCUCAACUGUAAAAGUGCCUUCGAAACUGGUUUCCUUGAGUGUGGAUGAAGUAGGCGGAAUUUGUGGUGUAGCGGUGAAAUGCAUAGAUAUCACGAGGAGCUCCGAUUGCGCAGGCAGCUUACUAAACUACUACUGACGCUCAUGCACGAAGGCGUGGGGAUCAAACAGGAUUAGAUACCCGGGUA